GAGGGAGAGCAGCGAGAGAGAGAUGGAGGGAGAGCACAGAGAGAGAGAUGGAGGGAGAGCACAGAGAGAGAGAUGGAGGGAGAGCACAGAGAGAGAGGUGGAGGGAGAGCACAGAGAGAGAGGUGGAGGGAGAGCACAGAAAGAGAGGUGGAGGGAGAGCACAGAGAGAGAGGUGGAGGGAGAGCACAGAGAGAGAGAGGUGGAGGGAGAGCACAGAGAGAGAGGUGGAGGGAGAGCACAGAGAGAACACAGAGAGAGAGAUGGAGGGAGAACAGAAAGAGAGAUGGAGGGAGAGCACAGAGAGAGAGAAUGUUAACUCAAACUCACAGCUACAGCUAAAACUCAUCAGCUGACCCACCAAUAUAUGCACACGACUAAGUUGCUUUGGAAAAAACAUCUGCUAAAUGGCAUAUUUAUUCAAUGUUUUAUUUACACAGACUUCAACCAACCACAGCAUUAGAAUGUUUGUUUCAGGUUUUCCUGAAAGUCUCUGUAUAAAGCCAUACUGUACAUCAUUAGAGCCACAUCUCUGACCUCUGGGAGGAUGAGUCUCCUUCCUGCUCUUACCACUUCCUCCUGUUUCUUCCCCAGAAGGUAAAAACACCAAAACCCAGGGAACAGUAGGCAUCUUCCC
This is a long non-coding RNA of Oncorhynchus keta (chum salmon), 634 nucleotides long. RefSeq lists it as uncharacterized. Lineage: Eukaryota; Metazoa; Chordata; Actinopteri; Salmoniformes; Salmonidae. The record is from RefSeq and is a predicted model, not a curated record. The transcript has 3 exons.